This 1144-nucleotide ribosomal RNA is filed under the name uncultured fungus. RNAcentral's name for it is "eukaryotic LSU rRNA". The stretch from base 529 to 1144 matches the Rfam family "Eukaryotic large subunit ribosomal RNA", at positions 1 to 649 of the family's 3401-position model. The record is from RNAcentral. Lineage: Eukaryota; Fungi.
AAGUCGUAACAAGGUUUCCGUAGGUGAACCUGCGGAAGGAUCAUUACUAUUGCUGAAGGCACUCCCUAGGCCUGGCCUGUGGGUUUUGUCCUGGCAACCAACCCUUGACCUUGUCUACCCUUUGUCCAUCCCUUGGCGGGCUUUGUCCGCCAUGGGUUCUACUUAACUCUCUGUAUGGUAGCCUUUAAACCUUCUGAAGACCAAUAAAAUUAUUACAACUUUCAACAAUGGAUCUCUUGGCUCUGGCACCGAUGAAGAACGCAGCGAAAUGCGAUAAGUAGUGUGAAUUGCAGACUUUAGUGAAUCAUCGAAUCUUUGAACGCACAUUGCGCCUUUUGGAAUUCCAUUAGGCAUGCCUGUUCGAGCGUCAUAUACUCUCUCAAGCGCUUGCUUGGUGUUGGGCAAUUGUCCUGCACACAGCUAGGACUUGCCUUAAAGGUAUGGCAGUCAGCUUGCCCGCUUCUUACGCAGCACUUGCGUCUCCUGAGGCAGGGUAUGCUGGCGUUCCAGCUAGACAACCGCUUUGUGAGACCUCGAAUCAGGUAGGAAUACCCGCUGAACUUAAGCAUAUCAAUAAGCGGAGGAAAAGAAACCAACUGGGAUUGCCCUAGUAACGGCGAGUGAAGCGGCAAUAGCUCAAAUUUGAAAUCUGGGCCUCUCUAUGAAGCCCGAGUUGUAAUUUGCAGAGGGUGCUUUGGCAUUGGCAGCGGUCUAAGUUCCUUGGAACAGGACAUCAUAGAGGGUGAGAAUCCCGUAUGGGAUCGCCUGCCUUUGACGUGUAAAGCCCCUUCAACGAGUCGAGUUGUUUGGGAAUGCAGCUCUAAAUGGGAGGUAAAUUUCUUCUAAAGCUAAAUACCGGCCAGAGACCGAUAGCGCACAAGUAGAGUGAUCGAAAGAUGAAAAGCACUUUGGAAAGAGAGUCAAAUAGCACGUGAAAUUGUUGAAAGGGAAGCGCUUGCAGCCAGACUUGUCCACAGUUGUGUACUUCUAUGGGCAGGCCAGCAUCAGUUUAGGCGGUUGGAAAAGGGCCUCUGUCAUGUAUCAUCCCUCAACCAGAUGACCUUAUAGGGGAGGUGUAGUACAACCAGCCAAGACUGAGGUCCACGCAUCUGCUAGGAUGCUGGCGUAAUGGCUGUUAGCGGCC